This 502-nucleotide ribosomal RNA is filed under the name uncultured bacterium. RNAcentral's name for it is "partial 16S ribosomal RNA". It matches the Rfam family "Bacterial small subunit ribosomal RNA", at positions 28 to 507 of the family's 1533-position model. The record is from RNAcentral.
GACGAACGCUGGCGGCGUGCCUAAUACAUGCAAGUCGAACGAACCGCGACUAGGUGCUUGCACUUGGUCAAGGUGAGUGGCGAACGGGUGAGUAACACGUGGGUAACCUACCUCAUAGUGGGGGAUAACAGUCGGAAACGACUGCUAAUACCGCAUAGGACAUAGGAUCACAUGAUCCAGUGAGGAAAGGUGGCGCAAGCUAUCGCUACGAGAUGGACCCGCGGUGCAUUAGCUAGUUGGUAGGGUAAAGGCCUACCAAGGCGAUGAUGCAUAGCCGACCUGAGAGGGUGAUCGGCCACAUUGGGACUGAGACACGGCCCAAACUCCUACGGGAGGCAGCAGUAGGGAAUCUUCCGCAAUGGACGCAAGUCUGACGGAGCAACGCCGCGUGAGUGAAGAAGGUCUUCGGAUCGUAAAGCUCUGUUGUUAGAGAAGAACAGCGCAUAGAGUAACUGUUAUGCGUGUGACGGUAUCUAACCAGAAAGCCACGGCUAACUACGUG